UACGAAGGGGGCUAGCGUUGUUCGGAAUUACUGGGCGUAAAGCGCACGUAGGCGGAUAUUUAAGUCAGGGGUGAAAUCCCGCAGCUCAACUGCGGAACUGCCUUUGAUACUGGGUAUCUAGAGUAUGGAAGAGGUGAGUGGAAUUCCGAGUGUAGAGGUGAAAUUCGUAGAUAUUCGGAGGAACACCAGUGGCGAAGGCGAGUCCCUGGACAACAACUGACACUGAGGCACGAAAGCGAGGGGAGCAAACAGG
This 253-nucleotide ribosomal RNA is filed under the name uncultured bacterium. RNAcentral's name for it is "partial 16S ribosomal RNA". It matches the Rfam family "Bacterial small subunit ribosomal RNA", at positions 524 to 776 of the family's 1533-position model. The record is from RNAcentral.